This 2175-nucleotide long non-coding RNA is filed under the name Homo sapiens (human). RNAcentral's name for it is "HSALNT0172893". The record is from RNAcentral. Lineage: Eukaryota; Metazoa; Chordata; Mammalia; Primates; Hominidae.
CUACACUCCAGCCUGGGCAACAAGAGCAAAACUCUGUCUAAAAAAAUAAAUAAAUAAUCUGUAUAGAAAACCUACUCAGAUGAAGUAAUAAAUUUGUUUUUAGUUGCAGCCAAGAAAGAACAGCUACCUUUUGGAGCAGAGAUGACUAAUGCCAUAUAUAAAGUAUUUCUUCAUAUAACUCAUUAAUGGUCAUGGCAGAGAAGAUAUAAAUGCACAACAGAACACAUAGAUUUUAAGAACUAUUUUUUUUAAUGUGGAGCUAAGCAACUGGAUAUAUUACUCCAUUUAUGAACACAGGAUUGAUUAAACCUAAAUUGCUAAAAAAGAUACAGCAUUUACAUACAUGAAACUGAUGUUUUGAGUUGUAACAAUUAGUGCCUUGUAUAAAGGGAAUUAGUAAAACUGAAACCUUGUAGCUGAUUGUCAACUCCAUUUUAAAAGUUUUAAUUAGACCAGAAGAAAUCUGCAAACAGAACUUUUGUUUGCUUGUGGUUUUGUUUUGAAAUAGGGUCUCACUCUGUCACCCAGGCUGGAGUACAGUGGCGCUAUCUCGGCCCACUGCAUCCUUGACCUCCCAGGGCUCAGUUGAUCCUCCCACCUCAGCCUCCCUAAUAGCUGGGACUACAGGCACAUGCCACCACACCUGGGUAAUUUUUCUAUUUUUUAUAGAGAUGGGGCUUCACCGCGUUGCCCAGGCUGGCCUCCAACUCCAAAGCUCAAGGGAUCUGCCCACCUCAGCCUCCCAAAGUGCUGGGAUUGCAGGUGUGAGCCAGCGCUCCCAGCCUAAACAGAACAUUUUAAAGCUAGAGAUGGUUGACCCCUGCCCUUGAGCUACAAAAUAACCCAGCUAGUGAAUGACUUCUGAGCCUUAAAGAAAGUAAUUGCAGUGGUCUUCAAGAUAGCUCUGGACCCAAAACUAUCAACAUUAGGAGAGACAGUUGGGGAACUCAGCAGUUUUAACAAGUCUUGGGAUUCCUUAAUGCCUUCCCUGCUUGGAUGUCACCCAAGAACAUGGCACUACUGUUGUAGUGAUGCAUGGGGCCAUGGCAAGAUAUGUAAAGUGCCUGCACAGCUAUCCACACACGCUUUGUUGGCUUGGAGGCUCGUCGGUCUUAAGUCUCUUCAUGAUUUUGAGUGUUUCGUUGCUAUAAAGUUAGAGUAAACUUUUUCAAGAAGAAUGAUAGAAGAAACACUUCUAAAAUAUCUUAGUAAUUCAUGGACAGAAAACCAAACGCCGCAUGUUCUCACUCAUAGGUGGGAAUUGAACAAUGAGAACACUUGGACACAGGGUGGGGAACACCACACACCAGGGCCUGUCGUGGGGUGGGGGGUGGGGGGAGGGAUAGCAUUAGGAGAUACACCUAAUGUAAAUUAUGAGUUAAUGGGUGCAGCACACCAACAUGGCACAUGUAUACAUAUGUAACAAACCUACAGGUUGUGCACACGUACCCUAGAACUUAAAGUAUAAUAAUAAAAAAAAAACUUAGUAAUUCAUUUGACCUUUCCAAUAAAGUUUUCAUCUAUUGUCUCACCAUCCUGGUUAAUGUGGAGCUGUUCACAUUGUUAGUUCUACAGUGUAGCUAAAUGCAGACAAAAAUGUUGCCACUUAGUUGUAAUUAAAAUGAAGAUAAUAGAUAACAAAGGAGGCAAUUAAUUAUAGCAUAGUCAUUUUAUGGAAUAUUAUGCAUUCAAGAAAAAUCAGUAUCACGUCCUCAAGGCAGCAUGGAAAAGCUCAUGAUAAAAAGAUAAAGCAAUAUAAGGUUACACUGAUUAAAAGAAAAAGCCUACACAUGCUAAAAUGCUGAAAGAAAAAAGUGUCAGUGAUUGGAUUAUAAGUGGCUUUUUCCUCUAAACUUUCUGUAAUGUUGUAUAACUUUUGUAAGUUUUUAAAAUAUAUUCUUAAACAAAACUGAGUAGCUGAAAUCAUUUUGCAAAGUGUUGAUAUAAGAAAUGAACCCACCAGGCCACCGCAUCAGCUUAGAUGGAAUGUGGAAGCCCAAGAAUUCUGCACUCUGGCAAAACGCAACCCUCCAUCUCUGCCGACAAUCCCAGGUUGGAAAACAUUGUUUGGAGACCAUCAGGACUAAUUUCAUGAUACCCUUUAUUCCUAUUAAUGCCAAUCACUCCAAGAAGCCCAGGUCUCACAGUUCAUUCUGCAUCCUCCAUUUCUAAUCU